UACACAUGCAGUCGAACGAUGAAGGAGGAGCUUGCUCUNNNUUGGAUUAGUGGCGAACGGGUGAGUAACACGUGAGCAAUCUGCCCUUGACUCUGGGAUAAGCGCUGGAAACGGCGUCUAAUACCGGAUACGACCCUCGGAGGCAUCUCCUGUGGGUGGAAAGAACUUCGGUCAAGGAUGAGCUCGCGGCCUAUCAGCUUGUUGGUGAGGUAAUGGCUCACCAAGGCGACGACGGGUAGCCGGCCUGAGAGGGUGACCGGCCACACUGGGACUGAGACACGGCCCAGACUCCUACGGGAGGCAGCAGUGGGGAAUAUUGCACAAUGGGCGCA
Molecule: ribosomal RNA, 332 nt
Filed under: bacterium xpnta452lbim19onp9.8
Lineage: Bacteria
Description: bacterial SSU rRNA
Rfam family: Bacterial small subunit ribosomal RNA
Source: RNAcentral